UAUUUUGUAUGUUAACAAUGUUGUCCUUUGUAGGUGUAAGAGGUAAUUAAAUGCUCCACGUAAUUUUGUUGUCUAUCUUAUUUGUCAAGGCAACAAGUCGAGGCGGCAACUGAAAGCUUAAGCGCUUAGGCGACAAGGCGCCCGUCUAGUCGUCCACAAAUCGACAAGUCGUUAACAAUGUAAAUUUUAUACAAAUAAAAUUAUAUAUAUUUAAUAUUUAUAUGAAUAUUGAUAUAUUUAUUUUUCUAAUGAUUUACCAUAUUCAUAAUGCAGGUUGUAGCAUAUUAAAUUACAACAAAAA
This 301-nucleotide long non-coding RNA is filed under the name Panax ginseng (ginseng). RNAcentral's name for it is "long non-coding RNA (PGIN_LNC008849)". Lineage: Eukaryota; Viridiplantae; Streptophyta; Magnoliopsida; Apiales; Araliaceae. The record is from RNAcentral.